UAUCGUUUUUGUAAACUGUAUUAAGAGAAUGCUAGUGGAAGGCUUGCUAUCAUUCAUCAGGCAACCGCUUUUGGCGCCCAAAACAAGAGAGAGAGAUAAUGAGAUUGGCGCCGUCUUGCUUACAUCCCUGUUCAACACCGUGACUUUAAUGUACAGCUCAAAGUGAUUGUUUUUACAUGCAAUCAAUGGAAGUUAUCCCUUAGGACGUGCCAGUAAUUUAACGCGGCAGUUCUGGACGGCUUCCUUUUCCCAUCGGUGCAAAAUCGCUACCAGCGUCGUCUCGUUGGCCUCCUUAUUUUGAGAUCAUCGACAGUUAUCUGUUUAUCUGUGACUAUUAACAAGAGUCUGUUGAGAGAAUCAGGAAGUACUUGGGAAUGCGGGUGACUCCGAAGGCUGGAACUGAAUGGUGUGAAGGGAGUGGAGCGUACCAGUUGACCUUCGAAUUGGCGACCUUCCACACUGCACCUGUGACCUUUCAUUUCCAUACUUCAUCACAGUUACCGUAUCUUGGAUGGUUAUGCUUAGCUGACCCUUUUGUCCUGCAACGCAGUUUUUGUCAAUGUAGUGAGGUCACGUGUUCCGUAGUCUGAUCUUUCCUAGGUAGUGACCACUAAGGGUAUUUACUAUCCACCUUUGCGGCGUCUUUUGUACAGCAAGUUGGGGAAGACCGUCAAAGCAUAAACUAAAGUGUAAAUAUCGUAAAGAGGUGACCUAAAGAAAAUAUGAGGUCUAGAUAGCAACCCCCGAACUUUGCUGGGAGUCACUUGCUUGGAAAGAUCCUGUAGUCAAACGUUGAUCCACCAAAUUCAGUCUCUUGUUCCCUUGAAGUUAUGGUGAGAUGCACUGCUCUAUGAAAAUAACAUCAACGCUAAUUAUCUUUCUUCAUCAAAAUAGAUUGCAUAGUUUCAUCGAAUCCCUAGAUUCUAUAACGAUGACAAUGUCUCUGGAACGUCGAAGGUGUGAGAUUAAGAUAUUCAGAAGAAACUACGGACAUAUCUGUUCAGAAAUAGUUUAGGCCUAUUCACAGAAGAAAAGGGAAUUCAGGAAAACGGUAAGAUAUUCUAUGUAUAUAAAAGGCAAUUUCUGUGUGUUUGUCUGUCUGUCUGUUUAUCGGCUAUGCAUGCCAAGACUAUGAAAGCUAGGGCUACUCAAUGUUUACCAUAGACUCCUUCCCCUCACCCCCCAGGAAGGUUUUAGUCAAAAUCCGAAAUUCGGGGGCAUUUUUAAAGGGGGGUCAUAACCCCUCUUUUUCGUACCUCAUCAUUUUUUAUAGCUUUCAGAGUUGACAUCUAUGUAGAAGUGUUUCUAUUGGUGCAAACAGACUCCCCCAAAUAUGGCGGUCAUAAAGCACCCUCAGUAGUAAGGGGGCAAUCACCCCUGGGAAUGGGAGUCCGAGGGUUUCCCAUAAUAUUAGGGUGAAGGAGGACUACGUCUUUUCGACUUAAGAACCAGGGGAGAAGGGAGUCGUAGCCUACCUACCCCAACCUUGAGCAGGGGAGCGCAGCCCCCUCUUUGGUAAUUAGGACCCAAAGAGUCAAAGAUGGCCCUAUUGCAUUCAAAUUUGGUACUAUAAAUGCAUUUAACAUCUUUAUCAAAGGUUAACUUUAGACUGAGUUUUAUCAAGGGCUGUUUAAAGCCCGCUACUAACGUUCAGUUAUGCCUGCUCAGUUAUAACUGCACAGUCGGACUGUGCAGGCAAAUCUAAGCCACUAACAAUGCAGUCCUUUUCCUCAGUUCUGCAGCAGCCGCUGCGUCAACACACGAUGCUCUGGCUGUAAUUAGCUUGCUGACAUCAUAAAAAAAGAUCAUUAACGUCAAAUAAGACGUCCAGUGAAAUAGUGGUUGAUGAAAACGAAUUAAAUACUACUUUCAUGUCAAUUUGUUAAGAGUUUAAAUUUAGGCCCUAGGACUUUCUUAAUGUUUAUUGAAUAUUUUAUGAAUGAAGGGAGGGUUCCAUGGAAAGAUAAUUAAGUUGGUAAUCCUUUGCUUUCAUUUCAAAGUUGACACUUAUAGGCCUAAUAAUUUUUCUAUUUCAUUAAAAGGGGUUAAUA
Macrobrachium nipponense is the source of this 2051-nucleotide long non-coding RNA. RefSeq lists it as uncharacterized. The transcript is spliced from 3 exons. The record is from RefSeq and is a predicted model, not a curated record. Lineage: Eukaryota; Metazoa; Arthropoda; Malacostraca; Decapoda; Palaemonidae.